This 584-nucleotide small RNA is filed under the name Pan troglodytes (chimpanzee). RNAcentral's name for it is "retained intron". The record is from RNAcentral. Lineage: Eukaryota; Metazoa; Chordata; Mammalia; Primates; Hominidae.
GCAGAACCAGACCGACUCAGAUUCAGACUCUGAGGGAGGAGCCGCUGGUGGAGAAGCAGACAUGGACUUCCUGCGCAACUUAUUCUCCCAGACGCUCAGCCUGGGCAGCCAGAAGGAGCGUCUGCUGGACGAGCUGACCUUGGAAGGGGUGGCCCGGUACAUGCAGAGCGAACGCUGUCGCAGAGUCAUCUGUUUGGUGGGAGCUGGAAUCUCCACAUCCGCAGGCAUCCCCGACUUUCGCUCUCCAUCCACCGGCCUCUAUGACAACCUAGAGAAGUACCAUCUUCCCUACCCAGAGGCCAUCUUUGAGAUCAGCUAUUUCAAGGUUUGUGCUCCCCCAGGAAGGGGCGUCUGUGAGGGGUGGGGAUGGGGUCACCUGGCUCCAACCCUCAUGCUACCUGGGGCAUCUGGCCCUCUGGCUGUCUCUCCUACAGAAACAUCCGGAACCCUUCUUCGCCCUCGCCAAGGAACUCUAUCCUGGGCAGUUCAAGUUUCCUCAUCUGUGAUCUGGGGAUAGCGGUGGUCUCUCCCCGACGCGGCUGCUGUGAUGGUUCCCUGGGGGUAAAACAGUCGCAGUGCCUAGA